Pelobates cultripes (western spadefoot toad) is the source of this 668-nucleotide non-coding RNA. The record is from the annotation of a GenBank genome assembly. Lineage: Eukaryota; Metazoa; Chordata; Amphibia; Anura; Pelobatidae.
UUGGGAAGGAAUCCAUGUUGGACAGCAUACACUCUUUUAUAUACAGAGUUUUUAUUUGUUUGCAAGUUUUUUAGUAUUGUAAUAAAUUCUUUUAUACAUUUAAGUCCUCUUUGAGUCCUCCAAUUUGCUGCUACAAAGAAGGGUGGUGCCCUCUUUACAUUCACCUCAGCCAUUCCACCCAGAGCCAGGUUCAUCGCCUGUGAGCAAUAACUUGCACUUAAUACCUCCAUAUCUAUAUUGUAACCUAGUACACCAGAAAGAAUUUUCUAUUCUACUGCUUUUGUCUUAUUCUCUGAGAAUUAUUUGAAUUAAAGGGGAAAGUGCCACCAGCCAGCACUACUGCUAAAGAGAUUUGAGCCUGUCCUAUCUGAGGCUCUACUCCAUGUGACUUGUUAACCUGCAACGUAGAUACGUUUCUCACCCUUUACCAUAGAAUUAUGCUAUGUAUUUUUAUUUUCUUUCAUACAUGCCUUGAUAUCCACUGGAUUAAAGCAUCAUCCAAGCUUGGUAAUAUCUGAUACACCCCCAUUUAGGGAAGGUGGUUACAUUUCCACCAUCUUUCGCUCGCUCCACUCUUUUUUUGAAAUUCACUUUUGUAAAUAACCCUGUGAGAUAGUUUAAUAGGGUUAUUCACUAAGUGAGAAUCACCGGGAAUUCAAAGUGAAGCU